CAUCUUCAGCAGGUCGUCCUGCAACACAAGCUGUGUGGGUCACGACCACAACAACAACAACUACACAACAACACAACUACACAACCCGGCUGGACCGAGGCUUUCCCGGUCUGCCGGUGCCACGUUCACAGCCGACCGGGCCGCCUCUCAGCAGGAGAACAGUUCCACCGGAGGAGAAACUCUGUGGAGCUCCUGGUUCCAGACCUGCGGGACACAAAAAAACAAGUCAGCUGAUGGAGUACGGGUCAAAGGUCACAGGGAGAACAGAGGUCGCUCAGACAUCCAAGGAAGGAUUGGGCCGUCUUUGGUCGUGAGACCUCUGGAGGAAACUACGAAUGGAGGAAGAAUCGUCAUCACAGCGAAAAGAGACGGAAACACGAAAUAUGAAUAAACACUCACCGCUUCAGGGCUCUGAUUGUAGAUUUGAAGGCUUUGUGUCAAUAAUAACGUAUCGCAUAGAUUACAUUGUCUGCCUUUUAGGAAUACAUUCUUUUAAAUAAUAAAAUCUUUCAAAACUUG
Molecule: long non-coding RNA, 519 nt
Organism: Pseudoliparis swirei
Lineage: Eukaryota; Metazoa; Chordata; Actinopteri; Perciformes; Liparidae
Exons: 2
Source: RefSeq, a predicted model, not a curated record